GAAGCUUGAGGAAAAACCAACAGAAAAGAAGAAAAACCUCACCAGACUUGCAUCAGCCUUAAAGUACCUCCCAGAGAUCUUCUUGAGGUGUCCCCAGGCUGGACACCAUGCUUGCCGUGGCCUGCGGGGAUUGGUCAGGAUUUCGUCCCAGCUGGGGUGACCAACUGUUGCUGUCCUUCACCAGUCCUGCCCUAGAAGCAGAGUGAGAAGAGACCCUCGGCCCCAAGGCCAGCACACAGGACCGGAACCCACUCCCUCCAGGAAGGGGUCUGUGUGAGAAGCGUGUGAUGCCCCUCUGAGUCACAAAUUCCUGCUUUCUGAGAAGCCUGGCUUCAACAUGGCCACGGGGGACCUGGAGGUGCUGGACAGGGGUCUGGGCUGCCCCGAGGCCAUGGAGGAGCUGACCAAGUCAGUGGAGAGAUCCAGGAAAGAAUCGCAGGAGGAGGAGGAGGAGGCAAAAGGUGGUGAGAGGGCAGAAAGCAGAGAAGAGACAAGCAGCCAGGUGCAGGUGCAGGGGCCCGCUGAGGAGGAGCAGGCCCCGGAUGGGAUCGGGGAUGGUGCCAGGAAGCCCUCGAGGGUGAAGGCAGAGAAGGAGCACUCAGCCGACAAGGGGGGCUCCGGAAAGGAGAGAGGGAAGACAGCUGCAGCUCCUAAGAGCGUCCCUGCUAGGAAGAAAAUGAAGGCCCACUCCCAGCCCCAGGUGAAGCCACAGCCCCGGACGCUGGGGCCCCCGAGCGACGAGCUGCCUUGGGGAGAGAUCACCCUUAACAAGUGCCUGGCGCUGGCCUCGGUCGUGGCUGUCCUCAGCAUGGCCUUCCAGGUGUUCCAGGAUGUCAUUGAUGGGGAGGAGGAGGGCCCGGAGGCUGCCCCGGCCCUGUGGGCCUGGCCAGGCAGCAGUGCCCCGAGGGACAGCAGAGCCAAGCUGCAGCCCAAGCCCAGAGACUGGGCUAAGGCGUCAGCACCAGCCCCACCUCCAGGGCCCAAGCCCCCUGUGAAGGAGACACCCCGGACUGCCAUGGUCAAGGAGGCCUCACCCAAAGAGCCGGGCGCAGAGGGGCAAGAAGCAGAGGGCAAGGCGAGCCCUGCCCCGGCCCCAGAAGCAGCCGUUCUGCCUGAGAAGCCGCCCUGGGCAGCGCUGCCUAAGAAGGAGGAGAAGGCCAGGAACAAGAAGGGCUUCCGAGAGGACAGGGCCGAGCCCCAGUGGCAGCAAAGGAAGGAGGGCGGCCACGGGCCGCGGCUGCGCCGAGAAGGGAAGGAGGAGGCUCCACGCAGGCCCUGGGAGCGGGAGCAGGAGCACCGGCCCCCCGGCAGGCGGGAGGACUCCAAGAAGGCCCGGGAUGGACCCAGGAGCAAGAGAGAAGAGCAGCGGGGCCGCGGGGGGCGCGAGGGGCGCGAGGACAGGGACAGGUUCUUCCCCAAACAGAAGCACCGGGAAGGGAAGCGGAGGGACUGA
This 1453-nucleotide long non-coding RNA is filed under the name Phascolarctos cinereus (koala). RNAcentral describes it as "lncRNA (ENSPCIG00000032064.1)". The record is from RNAcentral. Lineage: Eukaryota; Metazoa; Chordata; Mammalia; Diprotodontia; Phascolarctidae.